This 3417-nucleotide long non-coding RNA is filed under the name Homo sapiens (human). RNAcentral describes it as "long independently transcribed non-coding RNA 1193 (LINC01193)". The record is from RNAcentral. Lineage: Eukaryota; Metazoa; Chordata; Mammalia; Primates; Hominidae.
GUUGCAGGCUAUCGUGUGUUAACCUGUACUUCUGCCGCAGAGUUUGGAGAAAGCGGCAGCAGAUUGUGCUGCCGCAGGCUGGAGCCUGGAACCUGGAGCCCUGGAGCCUUGAAUGGUGUGUGGUGGCAAUGGAGAGAGGCAGCUGGCAGUGACAGCUGCUCCGUGCUUGGCUACAGGAAGGAAAGAAGGAGAAAGCACCUACCAUAGGCUGGAGGCUAGAGCCUGCAGGACUGCGGCUGGCCUCGCUGGCUCGCCUCCCUGGCUGGCCUCGCUGUGGUUGGUGGCAGCGACGGAUACUGCAGCUGGCCAGAGUGUAGAAAGGCAAUGGGGAGCGCAGUCCUGGUGGGCCCAGCGGUUCCUGUGGAUUGGAGCCAGGCAGUGUGAUGUUACCAGUCACCACUCCAGGUCCCAGUUCCUGGCCCGCUUGAGCCAAAAGGAGAGGCUGGACUUUGGAGGGUGGAUAUGAGUGCCUUCACUGAGACUGGCCCCUGCCACCCAGUGGCCAGGAUGACAAGGCAGAGGAGAAUGACCCUGUGGCCACCACCAUCACAGGCCUAUGGGGCACCUCAAACUCAACUCCAAAAUUGAUCUAAUGAACUUUCCCAAACCACAUUCCCUUCUUGCAUUUCUGAGAGAAUGGAUUCCCAUUCAUCUGACUACAGUGCUACCCUGAAAGCAGAUCCAGAGACUAAGAUUCACCUGCAGGUGAUUCAUUUGCAAGGUAAGCUGUCAUCAGUUGGAGGUAAGCAGAAGACAGUAGAGAGUACAGAGCCCUGGACUGUGACUCAGAGGAUGAGCACCAGAUCCAGUUUGCUGUGCCACAGUGGUAAGUCACCUAACCUUUAUGUGCUUGGAUUCCUCAUAUGUAAUACAGGAUCACAACUAUUGUUCUCACUCAUGCAAUACUACUAUUGUGAGAACCUCAUGAAUUAGAGAAACUCUGAAUUUGCAAUUUAGCUUUAGAACACUGACAAGUAGCUCAUUGAUUCUUGCCUCAUUCCUCUGGAAUAAAGUAGCUUUUUAUCAAACAAGUGAACACAUUGCUUUCAGUGGAGGCAGAAGGAAUUCAUUUUGAAAAAUGCACAUAGCAUUCUCCAACCCAUUUUUGCAUAUUCUUUUUUAAGGGAAUGCCUUGUGUGAGAGGACUAGCAGGGUAUCAGAACUGUUUUUUGAAAGAACUUUGUUUGCAGGUGCUUUCAAAUAUGUUGUCUUCAACUAUCAUUUUCAGUGUAAAAAGCGGGCUUGGAGUAAGCACUGCCUGCAGACCACUUUUGUGAGCCCUCCUUUCAGUGAUGUGAUGGCAAUCCAGGCCCCUGCUGGGAGAGAUUUCUGCCUGGUUAAACCUCUCACAGCUUCUAAUCCUCUCUUUCUCAUCUGGCUUUCCUUAGCCUUCUCCAAAGUCACUCACAGAAGGCAUCCCACUCAACCUCACCUUGGGGUAAAUCAAAAUAGUCCUCCUUCUGAAGCUACCGGGUAAAACGGUGGUAGCUGUGCAGCUGCUGCUGAUCAACAGGCUCCAGAAACAGCAGCAGGAGGUGAGCAGUCCCUGCGUUGGCCACCAAGUGGUAGGUGGCCAGCCCUACCUCCAAGUUGCACUGUUUACUUAUUCAUCUUUCAUGGUAAAGCCUCCAGUUGCCUAUUAUGAAAUCAGCAAUAAUCAUGUGUCCCCUGUCUGGGUCCCUGAAAAGAUGGAAAGAGGCAGAUCAGGCUGGUGCUCUGAGAAUGACAGACAUCAAACAAGAAUGAAAAGUGUCACCCUCCUUGGACUUAUUCAGUAACUCAUGCCCUUGAGCAAAGGAGGAUUUUCUAUCAAAGGACAUGGAUUUCUGUGUCUUUCUCUUGAGAUAACAUUGCUGGGUGACCACAGAAAGCUGGCUCUGGAAGCACAGAAGCUGCCUUUCCUUGAGUAAUAAUGUCUCUUCAAAGGGAGCUGGAGCAUGAGUAGUGUACAUGCCUCAGAUUUCAGUGAAAAGUUCAGAGGAGGCCUGAGAAGAAGGUCCUGGGAAUGAAUCAUCUAGAUGACUCAACCUUGCAAAGCCAUCCACCUCAUUGUGGAUAUCAUUCAAUACAUUUGGUGCUCCAUCAUCCUAUUUCCAUGGCUAUUUCCUCACAUUUUUCAAAGUCUGUUUCUUGAGCCCUGACUGUGUCAAAUAGCAUGCCCUGUUAUUCUUGGGCUUCCCUCUCUGUUCUAGUAUUCAGGGAGAUUUCAGAGGCUGGGGUAAAUCUCAGACCAAGAAGACGCAAUGGUUUUGAGGUAGAGAUCCUAGGAAUAUAGAAUUCUGAGCUAUGCAGUGGUCCUUUGCUUUCAGGAAAUCAAGUUUGAUAGUAUCACCUGAAGCAUACUUACAUUAUCCACAAAUGACAGCUCCUUACUUGAGCAGUUAAAUUGUGGCAAGUCUUAACACACAGAUUCCUCUUAAAUGCCACCUAAUCCCUGCCUGGCUUCAAGCCUCUGGCUUCCCUUGGAGAGGGGCAGAGUCUCUCUGUGUGAGAGAUUCUUCAUUUCUGCUUUCUGCCCUGUCAGUUUCUACUUACUUGCUCUUCCACCUUGUCCACAAGGCUUAUCUAGCGGCUGUUUACCUCUGAGCAGAGAAAAUGGAAGUCAGCAGAGACAAGGUUGAAAUUUCUCAGGAAGGAUUUUUUUUUUCCACUUUAUCGUGCAGCAAGAGUAAAGCCUUUUUUUCGGUGAUUCUUUCCUCCACAAUGGCCAUUGGCUGCCCUCUGUCACACACAGGUGUGACUCCCUUGUUAUUAACUGUCAGGUGGGAAUUUCUAGGGAAGAAGGAGAGUGCUUUGUUAACCUCUUAACAUCUCCCCAAAUUGCAUCAUAUUCUCUCCCUUUCCCCUCCCAGUUACCUUUUCUAUUUUUGAUUUCCCCUUUUUCAGUCUGAUUUGGGGAUUUCAGUUCCCACUAACUUUGUAUAAUAUCCUCCUAUCUCUGAAAGAACAAGUUCCAUCUCCAUUUUCCAGGAGAGUUUUUUUCCUUGCAGUAAGAGCACCCCAUCAUCUCUCCAUUUCUACCUCCCCAUCCCAGUGCUCCCUUUAUGGCAGUACAAUUGAAGAGGGACCCACAGUCUUGCUGAAGGAACAUGACCUUCCUACUGAAGUUGGGAUUACGGAAUAGAGGGAGAAGAGGAAAGAUGGAUGUUUAUCUGAAUGGUCGGAUCUUGUUUUCCAGAGGACACAGGCCAAUGGGAAACUUUUGGGAAGGAAGUCAAAAAAUCAAAGCCAGAACUGGGUUUUGGUAAUUUAAUCUCCCAAAGAGAGAAAAGUCCCCAUACUCUAAUUCAUAUUUUGUUUGACUUGACUGAAGCCCUUUUGAAUAUUUUUUCUGCUUCUGUUCUGUUCUUGCAAUAACAAUGACAUAAGUUUGCCUUUGGAGACAUUAAAAUAGUUUUCUCAAAAAAAAAAAAAAAA